RNAcentral lists this ribosomal RNA (253 nucleotides) under uncultured bacterium. Its description in RNAcentral is "partial 16S ribosomal RNA". It matches the Rfam family "Bacterial small subunit ribosomal RNA", at positions 524 to 776 of the family's 1533-position model. The record is from RNAcentral.
UACAGAGGGUGCGAGCGUUAAUCGGAAUUACUGGGCGUAAAGCGCACGUAGGCGGUUUUGUAAGUCGGAUGUGAAAGCCCCGGGCUUAACCUGGGAACUGCAUUCGAGACCGCAAGACUAGAGUAUGGGAGAGGGCAGUGGAAUUUCCGGUGUAGCGGUGAAAUGCGUAGAUAUCGGAAGGAACAUCAGUAGCGAAAGCGACUGCCUGGCCCAAUACUGACGCUCAUGUGCGAAAGCGUGGGGAGCAAACAGG